UAGGGAAUCUUCGGCAAUGGACGAAAGUCUGACCGAGCAACGCCGCGUGAGUGAAGAAGGUUUUCGGAUCGUAAAACUCUGUUGUUAGAGAAGAACAAGGACGUUAGUAACUGAACGUCCCCUGACGGUAUCUAACCAGAAAGCCACGGCUAACUACGUGCCAGCAGCCGCGGUAAUACGUAGGUGGCAAGCGUUGUCCGGAUUUAUUGGGCGUAAAGCGAGCGCAGGCGGUUUCUUAAGUCUGAUGUGAAAGCCCCCGGCUCAACCGGGGGGGGUCAUUGGAAACUGGGGGACUUGGGUGCAGGAGAGGAGGGUGGAAUUCGAUGGGUAGCGGUGAAAUGCGUAGAUGUAUGGAGGAACACGAGGGGCGAAGGCGGCUCUCUGGUCUGUGACUGACGGUGAGGCUCGAAAGCGUGGGGAGCGAACAGG
RNAcentral lists this ribosomal RNA (429 nucleotides) under Gemmatimonadota bacterium. Its description in RNAcentral is "Gemmatimonadetes bacterium partial 16S ribosomal RNA". It matches the Rfam family "Bacterial small subunit ribosomal RNA", at positions 355 to 776 of the family's 1533-position model. Lineage: Bacteria; Pseudomonadati; Gemmatimonadota. The record is from RNAcentral.